Molecule: long non-coding RNA, 1305 nt
Filed under: Gossypium barbadense (sea-island cotton)
Lineage: Eukaryota; Viridiplantae; Streptophyta; Magnoliopsida; Malvales; Malvaceae
Description: long non-coding RNA (GBAR_LNC015262)
Source: RNAcentral
UGGUCAAAUUUCUUAAAAAUCCUAUAACCAUUAAAUUUUAAUGGAUCGGUAUUGUUAUUUAAAAAAAAUUAUAAUAUUAAAAAAAUUAUAACUUCUUUUUUAUAAAUUUUGUUUAUAAUUUUUAUGAUUUUUAAGUAUUUUUUAAAUUUUAAAAGGGUUUAAUUGAUUUUUCUAAUUUGUUACUUGUAAGGCCCAAUUUUGGCCCGGGUCUGCAUAAAUAAAAAUAAAGUCCAAAUAUAAAUUCAAAGUCCAAUUAGCAAUCCAAAUUACAAAAUCAAGCCCAUUGGCUAACCCUAGCCCGACGGCCCAACACCAAGCAGCACUCAGAAACCCCAGCGUCGCAACCAGGCUUUGCCCUCGCACGAACCGCGCCUUUGAGCCACUCCCCUCACGUGCGCCUCCGUACCCUCUGCAUCUGCCACGCACACCGCUACAUCAGCACCGUACGCCUGCAACAAACACAAAACGAGCAACGCAAGACCAAAAGAAAACAAAAAAAUAGCAAUUGUAAAAAAGGGAAAUUUGCGAUUUCGAUUUUCUUUUUGAUUUUCUUUUCGACUAUAUAAAGCCACCAAACAGAAUCUGUAAAGUUUUUUAUAUACACAGAGAUUGAAUACAAAGAAAAAAAGGUGAUUUACCAUAUUUUGCGUCUUUCUACUGCACCCUUUUUUUAUUUUUCUUUCUUUCUUUGAUACGAAAAACAGAAAAUAAAAGGAAGAACCCUUACCUGGGUUUGGUGUCGCCGAAUCCCUCCUCCACUCAGAUCGGAGUUGAAUGGAUGAGCGGGCUUUCGAUUUUUGAUGCGGCGCAGAAGGAAUCGGGGCUUAGGGUUGCUGGUUGUUUUGAAAAGAAAAAUAAAAAUGACUUAGUUUUUCUAAUUUAGGGUUUAGAAUGAGGUUUUAGAUAUUCCAAACGGCACCGUUUGGGGCUAGACUUAGUGGCUCCCAAAACGGUGCCGUACAUACCAUUGACCCGAUGACCCGACCCGGAUGCGGUGAGAUCCGCGUGUUCUGGCAUGGGGAGGGAGAUUUGUGCUAAAGGUCCUUCUUCUCUUGCAGAAUUUUUUAAAUCGGUCCUUUUAUUUUUUUUAUUUUUACCUUGCAUUUUGAUAUUGUCACGUUUUGGUCUAUGUCACUGCACUGCGUUUUGGGGAAGCGGGAUAUUUCCCAUUUGGCUCCCCCCGUAAUUCACGAAUUGCAUUUUGACCCUCUAUUUCUUUUAAAUUACAUUUGUGGCCAGUUAAUUUUGUUUUGUCUACAGUUUAGUCCCUUUUGUUUUUUUUACUAUUCAGUAACAUUAUUAUUA